AGUGAACGCUGGCGGUAGGCCUAACACAUGCAAGUCGAACGGCAGCACAGUAAGAGCUUGCUCUUACGGGUGGCGAGUGGCGGACGGGUGAGGAAUACAUCGGAAUCUACUUUUUCGUGGGGGAUAACGUAGGGAAACUUACGCUAAUACCGCAUACGACCUACGGGUGAAAGCAGGGGAUCUUCGGACCUUGCGCGAUUGAAUGAGCCGAUGUCGGAUUAGCUAGUUGGCGGGGUAAAGGCCCACCAAGGCGACGAUCCGUAGCUGGUCUGAGAGGAUGAUCAGCCACACUGGAACUGAGACGCGGUCCAGACUCCUACGGGAGGCAGCAGUGGGGAAUAUUGGACAAUGGGCGCAAGCCUGAUCCAGCCAUACCGCGUGGGUGAAGAAGGCCUUCGGGUUGUAAAGCCCUUUUGCUGGGAAAGAAAAGCAGCAGGUUAAUACCCCGCUGUUCUGACGGUACCCAAAGAAUAAGCACCGGCUAACUUCGUG
RNAcentral lists this ribosomal RNA (492 nucleotides) under uncultured bacterium. RNAcentral's name for it is "partial 16S ribosomal RNA". It matches the Rfam family "Bacterial small subunit ribosomal RNA", at positions 29 to 507 of the family's 1533-position model. The record is from RNAcentral.